GAUGAACGCUAGCGACAGGCUUAACACAUGCAAGUCGAGGGGCAUCGGGACGUAGCAAUACGUUGCCGGCGACCGGCGGAUGGGUGAGUAACGCGUAUGCAACCUGCCCACGACAGGGGGACAGCCCGUUGAAAGACGGAUUAAUACCCCAUAAAACAGGGGUUCCGCAUGGGACUAUUUGUUAAAGGUUUUUCCGCGAGGGGGAUCCGGUUGUGGAUGGGCAUGCGUUCCAUUAGGCAGUUGGUGGGGUAACGGCUCACCAAACCGACGAUGGAUAGGGGAACCGGGAGGUUGGUCCCCCACACUGGUACUGAGAUACGGACCAGACUCCUACGGGAGGCAGCAGUGAGGAAUUUUGGUCAAUGGACGGAAGUCUGAACCAGCCAAGUCGCGUGAAGGAAGGCGGCCCUAAGGGUUGUAAACUUCUUUUGCAGGGGAAUAAAGUAUUCCACGAGAUGGGAUAUUGCAAGUACGCUGCGAAUAAGGAUCGGCUAACUCCGUG
Molecule: ribosomal RNA, 502 nt
Filed under: uncultured bacterium
Lineage: Bacteria
Description: bacterial SSU rRNA
Rfam family: Bacterial small subunit ribosomal RNA
Source: RNAcentral